RNAcentral lists this small RNA (564 nucleotides) under uncultured fungus. Its description in RNAcentral is "eukaryotic LSU rRNA". The stretch from base 205 to 358 matches the Rfam family "5.8S ribosomal RNA". Lineage: Eukaryota; Fungi. The record is from RNAcentral.
CGUAACAAGGUUUCCGUAGGUGAACCUGCGGAAGGAUCAUUAAAGAAUGCCCCGUUUUUUGAAAUGGGUUCUAUUCCCAAACCGUGUAUACAUACCUUUGUUGCUUUGGCAGGCCGCCUUCGGGCGUCGGCUCACGCUGACCGCGCCUGCCAGAGGACCCAAACUCGUUUGUUUAGUGAUGUCUGAGUACUAUAUAAUAGUUAAAACUUUCAACAACGGAUCUCUUGGUUCUGGCAUCGAUGAAGAACGCAGCGAAAUGCGAUAAGUAAUGUGAAUUGCAGAAUUCAGUGAAUCAUCGAAUCUUUGAACGCACAUUGCGCCCCUUGGUAUUCCGAGGGGCAUGCCUGUUCGAGCGUCAUUAUGACCACUCAAGCCUAGCUUGGUAUUGGGGUUCGCGGUCUCGCGGCCCUUAAAAUCAGUGGCGGUGCCAUCUGGCUCUAAGCGUAGUAAUUUAUCUCGCUAUUGGGUCCGGUGGUUGCUUGCCAACAACCUCCAACUUCUAAGGUUGACCUCGGAUCAGGUAGGGAUACCCGCUGAACUUAAGCAUAUCAAUAAGCGGAGGAA